UGUAACUCUCCGACACCGAACAGAACUAAAAGAACUAUUUGCGACAGUGUAUGAAGGUUUUUAGCCACCGAAACUAUGGCGACGGCUUCAGGCGAAUCGUAGCGGCAGAGCUAAAUGGCAACGGCUCGACGAAGCCGUCGACUUAUUGCUUAAACGGCUACGAAAUGAUCCAAAUCAGAUAAAUCGAACGGCCACGGCUUAUGAAGUGGGUUAAUUAUAUGAUAUGCUUACACAUUUCGAUGGGAGGGGAUAAUCACCGCCGAUCAUCGUCGACCUCGUGGAAAAUCUCCGAUAAUAGCUCCGGUGAUCAGGUAUUCUCCACCUUCGUAUCGUAUCGGGGUCAUCUUCCUUCGCCUCUGGAGAUUAGGGAAGCCCUUCUCUCCGCGAUCCCAAUUUUUCUUCUUCGGGUUUUCUUUGUGUCCUGUUGGAUGGAGAAUGAAUUCUUUGAUACGGUUUUUAGUAAAAAAUCGUUGCAAAUUCGAAUCUGGAUAGCGUUCUUUCUCCUCUGCCUUUUCUCUUUGAUCCAUGAGGCUCUGUGAAUUCGAUUUUUCAUCAUGAUCAAAACUAGUUUAAUUAGAAGGUAAUUUAUACCUCUCCUUUGACUUGCAAGUGAGGAGAUCAUGACAUGCCUAUUGCGUGAUGCGCUUGGACAUUUGCGCAUGCAUACUGCAAAAACCAUUGGUUGUUCGGUUACUGUGUACAAAUUUAUCAUUCACCUCCGGAUGAGUCAUCGAUACCAUUAUUUUGAUUCUUGCAAAUUAAUCUUUUUUUCCUGGAGAUGAUUAAUUGAUGCAGAGACAAAACUAUCACUUGUCAGCUGAUGGAUCUGUAGUUGCUUUUUUUUUCGUCAUAUUUUGUGGUGCUUAAGUCUAAUUUUCUCUUCUGCUCUUACCAAAGUUCUGCUAAGAGACCUCAGUAAUUAAUACUAAUUUUCUCUUCUUGUUGCAACAAAAAUUCCUUCAUUUCUACCAUCUGCUCUGCAGAAACAGACCCAUUAGUUAGAAUUGUUGUUAUACAUCUAUCUAAUUCUGGUUUGUGAGAAAGAAGGUGUUUCAUUAGUUAGAAUUGUGAAGAUGGAUGAGCAGAUUGUCUCAGCCUUAGGAGAGGUAGGGAUCGACCUAAAAGUAUUGAGUCAUGUCAUUGGGGACGUUGUUGAGGCCCUACCAUCACAUCAAAUUAUGGCCUGUCAUCAUCACGUACAACAAGGCAAAGUAAAGAAGCCAAUUACAAAGUUUGGUGACAGUGGCUGCCUGAUCGGGCAGCCGAUAUCAACGUUGGAUGGAGUGGUAGAGCAAUUAAGAGCCUACUGUUGCUACACUAAACCGAGUAGAAUGCCGGCUGAUUUGGUCGUCUGAGGUGACGACAUCUAUUGGACGUUUAAAUCUGUCGAAGAGAAGAAGAACCGAGUCCGGCAUGGACAAAGGUAUGACGCUGUGGAAGCUAGGACUUCUCUUGUGUACUUUGGAUGACUAGUGGUUUUUGGGCAUGGAGCACACAACAAGUAGAGUGUUGGGAGAAUCUGCAGGUAUUUGACACCUAAAUAGGAGCACAUACGUCGGCAAUUUAUGGCGAGAUACGAUUGGUGGAUGGAAAAGGAUGACACUAUUCUCUCGCUCUCUUUCAUCCAUCAAUUACCACAUGACAAGUUGUCCCGUAUCAUUUAUGGAGUUCGUUUCUUUGUGGAAGGGCUUUUAGACCGCAGAGUGGCAUACCCAUGCACAGGCCUGCUGCACGUCUUUUACGCACUGACCUCGUUUCACUCGAUGCUGACUUUAUGGUGCAGGUGUUGGCAUGUGAACAUUCCACAGCUCAUUUCGUUGGGGAAAGGGUUCUAAAUGUGACAGGAGCAUUGACCUAAAGGAAUGGCAUUGGACAUGAUGGAACUUGAUGUGUUGGAAGCAAUGGUAUAUUGUGUCUCGCCCACUUGUCAUCAAUGACACCCAACUUGGAUUGUAUCGAGGAGAAUAAUCUUGUUCAAGAACAAAGACCAUGGCAUCCAUGAGAUCAUACUCUCAUCAUCACCACCUGUUUUCCAUCUUAUCUUGGGACGCAACUGUAGUCGUGCCCAUACCAUCAAACCUGUGGUGGGGAGGGAGAGACCCCGCGGUAUGGUGGCGGUGUCAAGAGACAAAAAGCUGAGAGGACUUUGUAGGACAAGGUUGAGGCAACAAGACAAGGAGGGGUUGCUGCUGACGGUGGGUGAGUAACAUCAGACUGCUGUAAAGGCUUCUUGGUCUCUUACAGAAAGCAGUGGAGGACAGAGAGACCCCUCCAAAAGGAACCAAUAUGAAGUCACAAAAUAGAUGCUCAAAUCCUAAUGGGGUUCAUUUCUGCCACCACCCAACACAUCCCACUUUGGGGAGUUCCCAGGUAAAUUUCACAUACUCUUGGGUGCGGUGGGCGUGUUCAUCAUUCUCAGUUAUCAACGAGAGAGGAACCAGCCAAUGCCUUCUCAUUGAUCAAAAACACGCCAAUCAAAUGGACAGCCGCCUACUUGAUUUACUUAGGUGGUAUAUUCUUCAAAAUGUCUCAAAGAAGCUAACGCUGCAGCUCCUAUUCAUCAUUCUAUCCGCCAUACAGAGGCAAAUUUUGGUGGAGGAAUUCCCUGAUAUCGGUAGCAGAUUUCUGUAAUCUUUUCAUAAAAGGAUUUCUUGCAACAGGUGGUAAUAUCUUCAAAAUUUGUCUCAAAGAAGCCAAGGCUGCAGCUCAUACUCAUUCGGUGUGAUAUACAGAGGAAAAUUUUGGUGGAGGGAAUUAAUUCCCUGAUAUCGGUAGUAGCAGAUUUUUUGCAUUCCUUUGAUAAAAAAGGUUUCUUCUCUUCGUAAAGAUUGCCAUCUCGACUUCAUUCAAAACCCAACUCCAUUAGUGACAGAGUGAGAAUACAAAGAGGUAUUUCCAUCGAAUGUUCCUUUUUCCUUUUUAAUAGGACCUUUCUAAUAUUUAUUUUCUUUUCUGGAC
Musa acuminata AAA Group (dessert banana) is the source of this 2958-nucleotide long non-coding RNA. RefSeq lists it as uncharacterized. NCBI's taxonomy places the organism in Eukaryota, Viridiplantae, Streptophyta, Magnoliopsida, Zingiberales, Musaceae. The record is from RefSeq and is a predicted model, not a curated record. The transcript has 7 exons.